Long non-coding RNA from Saccostrea echinata, 292 nucleotides. RefSeq lists it as uncharacterized. Lineage: Eukaryota; Metazoa; Mollusca; Bivalvia; Ostreida; Ostreidae. The record is from RefSeq and is a predicted model, not a curated record. The transcript is spliced from 3 exons.
UAGGUGGUACUGCGAACAUCCAGUAAAGCAGAGUUGUAUGAUUCCGCCAUUGUAGUGGACGAGGGUCAUGCGAUAAAGCAGGAUAUGGUGUUUGACGAUUCCCAGAUGUAUCUGUACGCCAUGAGUGACAGAAAAUUGGCCAAGAUUCCAGUACAGAAUUGUACCCAGUACACCACAUGCGGAGAAUGCCUAUUAAGUAAUGACCCCUACUGUGGGUGGUGUGUUCUAAGCCAUAGAUGCUCAUUGAAAAUUGAGUGCUACAAUCCAACACGAAGUCGAUGGGUUAACGGAC